RNAcentral lists this microRNA precursor (75 nucleotides) under Olea europaea subsp. europaea. The record is from RNAcentral. Lineage: Eukaryota; Viridiplantae; Streptophyta; Magnoliopsida; Lamiales; Oleaceae.
GUGCCUCCACUCACAUGUUGGGGGGCCGCAUAAUUAUUAUAAUUAUGCGGGCCCCCAACAUGUGAGUGGAAGCAC